RNAcentral lists this ribosomal RNA (851 nucleotides) under uncultured bacterium. Its description in RNAcentral is "bacterial SSU rRNA". It matches the Rfam family "Bacterial small subunit ribosomal RNA", at positions 46 to 890 of the family's 1533-position model. The record is from RNAcentral.
GCCUAACACAUGCAAGUCGAGCGGAGAUGAGGUGCUUGCACCUUAUCUUAGCGGCGGACGGGUGAGUAAUGCUUAGGAAUCUGCCUAUUAGUGGGGGACAACAUUCCGAAAGGAAUGCUAAUACCGCAUACGUCCUACGGGAGAAAGCAGGGGAUCUUCGGACCUUGCGCUAAUAGAUGAGCCUAAGUCGGAUUAGCUAGUUGGUGGGGUAAAGGCCUACCAAGGCGACGAUCUGUAGCGGGUCUGAGAGGAUGAUCCGCCACACUGGGACUGAGACACGGCCCAGACUCCUACGGGAGGCAGCAGUGGGGAAUAUUGGACAAUGGGGGGAACCCUGAUCCAGCCAUGCCGCGUGUGUGAAGAAGGCCUUAUGGUUGUAAAGCACUUUAAGCGAGGAGGAGGCUACUGAGACUAAUACUCUUGGAUAGUGGACGUUACUCGCAGAAUAAGCACCGGCUAACUCUGUGCCAGCAGCCGCGGUAAUACAGAGGGUGCGAGCGUUAAUCGGAUUUACUGGGCGUAAAGCGUGCGUAGGCGGCUUUUUAAGUCGGAUGUGAAAUCCCCGAGCUUAACUUGGGAAUUGCAUUCGAUACUGGGAAGCUAGAGUAUGGGAGAGGAUGGUAGAAUUCCAGGUGUAGCGGUGAAAUGCGUAGAGAUCUGGAGGAAUACCGAUGGCGAAGGCAGCCAUCUGGCCUAAUACUGACGCUGAGGUACGAAAGCAUGGGGAGCAAACAGGAUUAGAUACCCUGGUAGUCCAUGCCGUAAACGAUGUCUACUAGCCGUUGGGGCCUUUGAGGCUUUAGUGGCGCAGCUAACGCGAUAAGUAGACCGCCUGGGGGAGUACGGUCGCA